Molecule: transfer RNA, 71 nt
Filed under: Stegodyphus mimosarum
Lineage: Eukaryota; Metazoa; Arthropoda; Arachnida; Araneae; Eresidae
Rfam family: tRNA
About the family: Transfer RNA (tRNA) molecules are approximately 80 nucleotides in length. Their secondary structure includes four short double-helical elements and three loops (D, anti-codon, and T loops).
Source: Rfam by way of RNAcentral
ACCUUUGUGGUGUAACGUUAGCACACUAGGCUCCUAUUCGAGAGGUUCGGGUUCGAGUCUCGACGACGGCU